AUUGAACGCUGGCGGCAUGCUUUACACAUGCAAGUCGAACAGCAGCGCGGGCUUCGGCCUGGCGGCGAGUGGCGAACGGGUGAGUAAUGCAUCGGAACGUGCCCAGUAGUGGGGGAUAGCCCGGCGAAAGCCGGAUUAAUACCGCAUACGACCUGAGGGUGAAAGCGGGGGACCGAAAGGCCUCGCGCUAUUGGAGCGGCCGAUGUCGGAUUAGCUAGUUGGUGGGGUAAAGGCUUACCAAGGCGACGAUCCGUAGCUGGUCUGAGAGGACGACCAGCCACACUGGGACUGAGACACGGCCCAGACUCCUACGGGAGGCAGCAGUGGGGAAUUUUGGACAAUGGGGGCAACCCUGAUCCAGCCAUGCCGCGUGCGGGAAGAAGGCCUUCGGGUUGUAAACCGCUUUUGUUCGGGAAGAAAUCCUCUGGGCUAAUACCCCGGGGGGAUGACGGUACCGGAAGAAUAAGCACCGGCUAACUACGU
RNAcentral lists this ribosomal RNA (483 nucleotides) under uncultured bacterium. RNAcentral describes it as "partial 16S ribosomal RNA". It matches the Rfam family "Bacterial small subunit ribosomal RNA", at positions 29 to 506 of the family's 1533-position model. The record is from RNAcentral.